AACUAUAACGGUCCUAAGGUAGCGAAAUUCCUUGUCAGGUAAGUUCUGACCCGCACGAAAGGUGUAACGAUUUGGGCGCUGUCUCGGCAGCAGACUCGGUGAAAUCUUAGUACCUGUGAAAAUGCAGGUUACCCGCAACUAGACGGAAAGACCCCAUGGAGCUUUACUGCAGCCUGAUAUUGAAUUCUGGUCAUACAUGUACAGGAUAGGUGGGAGACAAAGAGACGUGCACGCCAGUGUACGAGGAGUCGACGUUGGGAUACCACUCUUGUGUGACCGGGGUUCUAACCUGGUAUCGAGAACAGGUACGGGGAGAGUGUCAGGUGGGCAGUUUGACUGGGGCGGUCGCCUCCCAAAGAGUAACGGAGGCGCCCAAAGGUACGCUCAGAUUGGAUGGAAACCAAUCGACGAGUGCAAUUGCAGAAGCGUGCUUGACUGUGAGACAGACAAGUCGAACAGGGACGAAAGUCGGGAAUAGUGAUCCGGCGGUGCCGAAUGGAAGGGCCGUCGCUCAACGGAUAAAAGCUACCCUGGGGAUAACAGGCUGAUCUCGCCCAAGAGUUCACAUCGACGGCGAGGUUUGGCACCUCGAUGUCGGCUCAUCGCAUCCUGGAGCUGGAUUCGGUUCCAAGGGUUGGGCUGUCCGCCCAUUAAAGCGGUACGCGAGCUGGGUUCAGAACGUCGUGAGACAGUUCGGUCCCUAUCUGUUGUGGGCGAAGGAGAUCUGCGGAGAGCUGUCCUCAGUACGAGAGGACCGGGAUGGACCUACCGCUGGUGCACCGGUUGUUCCGCCAGGGGCAUAGCCGGGUAGCUAAGUAGGGAAAGGAUAAGCGCUGAAAGCAUCUAAGCACGAAGCCUACUCCAAGAUGAGAUCUCCCAUUCGCAAGAAGUAAGACCCCUUAAAGACGAUAAGGUAGAUAGGCCAGGGAUGGAAGUGCAGUGAUGUACGGAGUUGACUGGUACUAAUCGGUCGAGGACUUAAUCAG
RNAcentral lists this ribosomal RNA (986 nucleotides) under human gut metagenome. Its description in RNAcentral is "bacterial LSU rRNA". It matches the Rfam family "Bacterial large subunit ribosomal RNA", at positions 1938 to 2925 of the family's 2925-position model. The record is from RNAcentral.